AUGGGAAAGUUUGCCCUAGCCAAUAUCCUCUUGGUCCUUCUCUUGAACUUGAGCACUUUGCUCAAUGUUCUUGCUUGUCCCUAUUGCCCUUACCCUUCUCCCAAGCCUCCAAAAAAGCCUCCCGUUGUGAAACCACCGGUUCACAAACCACCAAAACCAUGUCCACCACCCAAGUCAUCUCCAAAACCACCCCAUGUACACCCUCCCUAUGUUCCAAAACCUCCUCACUACCCUAAACCACCAGUUCAUCCACAUCCACCCCAUGUCCCAAAACCUCAUCCAAAGCCUCCAGUGCAUCCCCAUCCACCUUAUGUCCCAAAACCACCAGUUGUGCCAGUUACACCACCAUAUGUUCCAAAACCACCAAUUGUGAACCCUCCCUAUGUCCCAAAACCGCCUGUUGUGCCAGUUACACCACCUUAUAUCCCUAAACCACCAGUUGUGACACCACCAUAUGUCCCUAAACCACCAGUGGUGCCAGUUACACCACCAUAUGUCCCUAAACCACCAGUGGUGCCAGUUACACCACCUUAUGUGCCAAAACCACCCAUUGUGAAACCACCAAUUGUUUAUCCACCAGUUGUGCCAAAACCACCAAUUGUUACACCACCUUAUGUGCCAAAACCACCCAUUGUGAAACCACCAAUUGUUUAUCCACCAGUUGUGCCAAAACCACCAAUUGUUACACCACCUUAUGUGCCAAAACCACCCAUUGUGAAACCACCAAUUGUUUAUCCACCAGUUGUGCCAACACCACCUAUUGUGUAUCCACCUGUUGUACCAACUCCACCGGUGGUUACUCCACCCGUGGUUACACCACCAAGUCCUCCAAGUGAAACACCAUGUCCACCACCACCACCACCAGUGGUGCCAUACCCACCACCAGCACAACCAACAUGCCCCAUCGACACCCUAAAACUGGGGGCAUGUGUGGAUGUGCUUGGUGGC
RNAcentral lists this long non-coding RNA (948 nucleotides) under Glycine max (soybean). RNAcentral's name for it is "long non-coding RNA (GMAX_LNC002768)". Lineage: Eukaryota; Viridiplantae; Streptophyta; Magnoliopsida; Fabales; Fabaceae. The record is from RNAcentral.